Non-coding RNA from Schistosoma haematobium, 45 nucleotides. The record is from Rfam. NCBI's taxonomy places the organism in Eukaryota, Metazoa, Platyhelminthes, Trematoda, Strigeidida, Schistosomatidae.
ACCCAGCUGACGAGUCCCACGUAGGACGAAACUCGUGUCUUGGAU